RNAcentral lists this ribosomal RNA (450 nucleotides) under uncultured bacterium. RNAcentral's name for it is "partial 16S ribosomal RNA". It matches the Rfam family "Bacterial small subunit ribosomal RNA", at positions 354 to 796 of the family's 1533-position model. The record is from RNAcentral.
GUGGGGAAUUUUGGACAAUGGGCGCAAGCCUGAUCCAGCAAUGCCGCGUGCAGGAUGAAGGCCUUCGGGUUGUAAACUGCUUUUGUACGGAACGAAAAGACUUCUUCUAAUACAGGAGGUCCAUGACGGUACCGUAAGAAUAAGCACCGGCUAACUACGUGCCAGCAGCCGCGGUAAUACGUAGGGUGCAAGCGUUAAUCGGAAUUACUGGGCGUAAAGCGUGCGCAGGCGGUUUUGUAAGACAGGCGUGAAAUCCCCGGGCUCAACCUGGGAAUUGCGCUUGUGACUGCAAGGCUGGAGUGCGGCAGAGGGGGAUGGAAUUCCGCGUGUAGCAGUGAAAUGCGUAGAUAUGCGGAGGAACACCGAUGGCGAAGGCAAUCCCCUGGGCCUGCACUGACGCUCAUGCACGAAAGCGUGGGGAGCAAACAGGAUUAGAAACCCUAGUAGUCC